AUGGAGGUGAGGCUGACUUUAAGCAGGCCUAUCUUCAGUUUCAUAGUGGAGCUCUGAGCAGCCAUACAUCUCUUUGACAUAAAAAAACAAGUCCUCCUCCUCUUUUCCCUUGCCUGUCUUACCUGAACAGUUUAUACCCGUCCAUGAUGGUGCUCAAGUCAUGCGAGCUAUUCCAACAAGUCUCUGUUAUUC
Molecule: long non-coding RNA, 192 nt
Organism: Gavialis gangeticus (Gharial)
Lineage: Eukaryota; Metazoa; Chordata; Crocodylia; Gavialidae
Exons: 3
Source: RefSeq, a predicted model, not a curated record